Molecule: ribosomal RNA, 1458 nt
Filed under: Triticum aestivum (bread wheat)
Lineage: Eukaryota; Viridiplantae; Streptophyta; Magnoliopsida; Poales; Poaceae
Description: partial small subunit ribosomal RNA
Source: RNAcentral
AUGACCGGCGGAGGCGGAGAGGACGUCCCCGCGCCGAGGCGGCGCCCCCUGACGGUGCUCCCCCUCGUCGCGCUCAUCUUCUACGACGUCUCGGGCGGGCCGUUCGGCAUCGAGGACUCUGUCCGCGCUGGCGGCGGCGCGCUGCUCCCGCUCCUCGGCUUCCUCAUCCUCCCGGUCCUUUGGUCGCUCCCUGAGGCCCUCAUCACCGCCGAGCUCGCCUCCGCCUUCCCCACCAACGCUGGCUACGUCGCCUGGGUCUCCGCCGCGUUCGGCCCCACGGUCGCCUUCCUCGUCGGCUUCUCCAAGUGGGCCUCCGGCACCCUCGACAACGCGCUCUACCCGGUGCUCUUCCUCGACUACCUCCGCUCCAGCGGGCUCGCCCUCGCGCCACCGAUCCGCUCUCUCGCCGUGCUCGGCCUCACCACCGCGCUCACCUACCUCAAUUUCCGCGGCCUCCACCUCGUCGGCCUGUCCGCGCUUUUCCUCACCGCCUUCUCCCUGUCCCCGUUCGUCGCGCUCACCGUGCUAGCCAUCCCCAAGAUCCGCCCUUCCCGCUGGCUCGCCGUCAACCCCAAGGCCAUCGACCCGCGCGGGUACUUCAACUCCAUGUUCUGGAACCUCAACUACUGGGACAAGGCGAGCACGCUCGCCGGCGAGGUUGAUGAGCCGAGGAAGACGUUCCCCAAGGCGGUGUUCGGCGCCGUGGCGCUCGUCGUCGGCGCGUACCUCAUCCCGCUCCUGGCCGGCACCGGCGCGCUGCCAUCGGAGACCGCGGCCGAGUGGACGGACGGGUUCUUCUCCGAGGUCGGGCAGAGGAUCGGCGGGCCCUGGCUGCGCGUGUGGAUCCAGGCCGCGGCGGCCAUGUCAAACAUGGGGCUCUUCGAAGCCGAGAUGAGCAGCGACUCCUUCCAGCUCCUCGGCAUGGCCGAGAUGGGCAUGAUCCCCGCCAUCUUCGCCCGGAGAUCGCGACACGGAACGCCCACGUACAGCAUCCUCUGCUCGGCGACGGGGGUGGUGGUCCUCUCCUUCAUGAGCUUCCAGGAGAUCAUCGAGCUCCUCAACUUCCUCUACGGGCUCGGCAUGCUCGCCGUGUUCGCGGCGUUCGUCAAGCUGCGUUUCAAGGACCCGGACCUGCCCCGGCCGUACCGGAUCCCGCUCGGCUCCGUGGGGGCAGCCGUCAUGUGCGUCCCGCCCGUGUUGCUCAUCGGCACCGUCAUGUGCCUCGCGUCGGCCACGACCAUCGUCGUCAACAUCAUCGUGCUCGCCGUCGGGGUCGCCAUGUACUUCGGCGUCGAACGUCUCAAGCGCAGCGGCUUGGUCGAGUUCUUGACGCCCGUGCCGUCCGACAGCUUCCACGGAUCGUCGUCCGACGACGACGUCGAGGAUGUUCGCGCCGUCCUCCUCCCCGCCGCCGUGCCCCCCGCCCAGGAGGAGGAAGUGGCCAGCAAGGCUGAGUAG